Molecule: ribosomal RNA, 573 nt
Filed under: uncultured fungus
Lineage: Eukaryota; Fungi
Description: eukaryotic LSU rRNA
Rfam family: 5.8S ribosomal RNA (bases 198-351)
Source: RNAcentral
CAUUAUUGAAAAAAACUAACCAGUUUUUUAUAUCCCAUUGUUUACCUACCCUGUUGCUUCCACUGGACAUGUUUUGCCUCGUGUGAAACCUUUGGCUUGUGUACUCAACACUUGCCCAAGAGCUGCCAGUGGCAAGGAUUGUUUAACAAAACUUGAUGAAAAUUAAAUUGUCUGAAUAUUUUUCUUCAAUGAAAUAAAACUUUCAACAACGGAUCUCUAGGCUCUUGCAUCGAUGAAGAACGCAGUGAAAUGCGAUACGUAAUGUGAAUUGCAGAAUCUCGUGAAUCAUCAAAUCUUUGAACGCACAUUGCGCCCUACGGUAUUCCGUGGGGCAUGCCUGUCUGAGCGUCAGCUCCCCCACCCCACUCAAGCAUCCUUUCGUGAAGCUUGGAUUCCUUUGGAGAGGUACCUCUGCAUAGAGUUGCCCUCUAGAAAUUUAUAGGCAGUGUGGUUUGUAUUAAAACCAAGCGUAAUAAAAAUCAAAAUCGCUUGUUUGAAUAUAAUUACACUUGCCUUAACCCACCCAUUUUACUUUGGGUGACCUCAGAUCAGGUAGGGAUACCCGCUGAACUU